Molecule: ribosomal RNA, 274 nt
Filed under: uncultured bacterium
Lineage: Bacteria
Description: partial 16S ribosomal RNA
Rfam family: Bacterial small subunit ribosomal RNA
Source: RNAcentral
AUACGGAGGGUGCAAGCGUUGUUCGGAAUCACUGGGCGUAAAGGGCGCGCAGGCGGUUGGGUAAGUCAGAUGUGAAAGCCCACGGCUCAACCGUGGAAGUGCAUUUGAAACUGCCAGACUUGAGUACCAGAGGGGAAAGUGGAAUUCCCGGUGUAGAGGUGAAAUUCGUAGAUAUCGGGAGGAAUACCGGUGGCGAAGGCGACUUUCUGGCUGGAUACUGACGCUGAGGCGCGAAAGCGUGGGGAGCAAACAGGAUUAGAUACCCUGGUAGUCC